This 520-nucleotide ribosomal RNA is filed under the name uncultured Glomus. RNAcentral describes it as "SSU rRNA". It matches the Rfam family "Eukaryotic small subunit ribosomal RNA", at positions 569 to 1087 of the family's 1831-position model. The record is from RNAcentral. Lineage: Eukaryota; Fungi; Glomeromycota; Glomeromycetes; Glomerales; Glomeraceae.
AGCAGCCGCGGUAAUUCCAGCUCCAAUAGUGUAUAUUGAAGUUGUUGCAGUUAAAAAGCUCGUAGUUGAAUUUCGGGAUCAAUAUGUCUGUCGUGCCUUUGGUACGUACGGGUAUAAUUGGUUUCUACCUUCUGAUGAACCUUGAUGCCAUUAAUUUGGUGUCUUGGGGACUCAGGACUGUUACCUUGAAAAAAUUAGAGUGUUUAAAGCAGGCAUACGCUUGAAUACAUUAGCAUGGAAUAAUGAAAUAGGACGUUUGAUUCUAUUUUGUUGGUUUCUAGGAUCGACGUAAUGAUUAAUAGGGAUAGUUGGGGGCAUUAGUAUUCAAUUGUCAGAGGUGAAAUUCUUGGAUUUAUUGAAGACUAACUACUGCGAAAGCAUUUGUCAAGGAUGUUUUCAUUAAUCAAGAACAAAAGUUAGGGAUCGAAGACGAUCAGAUACCGUUGUAGUCUUAACCAUAAACUAUAGACCGACUAGGGAUCGGAUGAUGUUAAUUUUUAAUGUACUCAUUCGGCGUACC